Molecule: long non-coding RNA, 900 nt
Filed under: Ananas comosus (pineapple)
Lineage: Eukaryota; Viridiplantae; Streptophyta; Magnoliopsida; Poales; Bromeliaceae
Description: long non-coding RNA (ACOM_LNC039048)
Source: RNAcentral
UACAACUAUACCUAAUGUAGAAUAGAAAUUAAAAUACAAUAAUAAAAUUCACAAGUACAAUAAUUAUUUAAAAUUACAUCUUUACAUAGAGAUGACUGCUUAAUUCCACAUAGAUUGUCGCGCUUGAUCAUAUGGCAUACUGUCAGUUGCAGAUACAAGAUUUAUAUGACAAUGUUGAUAUAAGUAUUGCUGGUAUUGUGAGAAAGUCAUAUUCCCGAUAUACGUCAUUGUAUUCUCGGAGAUAACUUGCAUAUGCAACUGGAUCGUGGAUAUAAUGGACAACAGUCAUCUGUGGCAUAUAAACUGAAGCAUCAUAAGGAUAUGGAUUGUAUGGAAAAGAAGAACCAUAAUGUGGAUAUGCAUGAGUGGAUGUAGAUUCGCCGUAUGAGCUUUCACUAUGUCCAGGGAUGGAUUGGGAUUCACUCUGAGUGCCAUAAAUUGAUGAAGCAUAAUCAAAUAUCUCUCCAUAUAGACCAUGUCGAUAUGAGGGAUGCGAUGAUAUUGAAGUACUAUCAAACUGUGUUUGCAAAGUAUCAUCCCUUCGUGAAGGUCUAGUUGAUAUUGCCUCCAAACCUUCUCUUAUCUCCCCAUAAUCUUGUUGUGAGGACCUCUUAUCUUUUCGACGGUUAUAUACCACUCCGGAUGUUUGACGUGGUCGAGACCCAUGAUCAGCAUCUUGAGUGACAUGUGUGAAAUUUUACUCUUCAGUAAAUAUAAGGCCACCACCACCUCCACUCUCCUGUUGUGUUGGUGGAAUGAAGUCGCCACCAUCCUCACUGCUAUUAGUGAUAUCAUCAUCAUCACUACAUUCAUCUUUAGACUGUGGUAAUCCAGAAUCUGUUGGUGUCGAUGUAUCACUAUCAUCAUCUUGUGGGAGUGCAUCAGCUGCAUCUAAUGGAU